CCCAAAAAAAAAAAAAAAAAAAAAGGAGAAGAAGGAAAAAACGCAAAAAAAUGAAGAAAAAACGCAUUGUUAGGUUCU
This 78-nucleotide non-coding RNA is filed under the name Pseudopedinella elastica. The record is from RNAcentral. Lineage: Eukaryota; Dictyochophyceae; Pedinellales.